Molecule: long non-coding RNA, 2435 nt
Filed under: Homo sapiens (human)
Lineage: Eukaryota; Metazoa; Chordata; Mammalia; Primates; Hominidae
Description: non-protein coding lnc-TSKU-1:2
Source: RNAcentral
AUAGGACCUUGCCCAUCAAUGUUCAGUGUUCCUUGUUGGCUAACGUUCACCAGGGUGCAAAUGUUGGUUGAUAUAUAAUGUUUAUCAUAUGAAUGACAGCUUCCACCAAUGACCAAUAUCCACAAAGGGAAAAUGUCUGUUGGAGGCAGUGUCUGCUGUAUAUCAGUGCCCAGUGUUCACUGGUAGCUAAUUGCAAUUAUACUUGCUCUGUGCAUCAAUACCCAAUGUCAGUCCAUAGCUCGGCUUCUAACGACAGCAAAUGUCUAUCCAGUUAAGUCACAUGCCCUGUGUUUAUUCUUCUCUUUAUUUAUUUAAGUACUAGUGGUUCUGUCUACAGGGAUUAUUGUGUUUGUUGAGCUUGGAGGGAAAUUCCCCCUGUGUUUAUUCUUUAGUUCCCAAACCUAUUUAUUAUUUUCUUUUGCAUAUCCAUUAGAUAGUCAAAGUGUUCUGAACUGGAGGUACAAACACAUUCAUGUUUCUUUUUGUCUCCCUUCCCUCCCUCCCUCCCUCCCUCCCUUUCUUUCUUUCUUUCUAUCUCUCUCUCUCUCUCUUUCUCUCUCUCUCUCUCUCUUUCUUUUUUCAGGGUCUUAUUCUGUCACCCAGGCUGGAGUGCAGUGGCGUGAUCAUAGCUCACUGUAGCCAAUCUCCCAUGCACAAGCAAGCCUCUUGCCUCAGCCUCCUGAGUAGCUGGGACUACAGGCAUACGUCACCAUGCUCAGCUAAUUUUUUAAUUUUUAGUAGAAAAGGUCUGGUCUUGAACUCCUGAGCUCAAGAAAUCCUCCCACCUCAGCCUCCCAAAGCGUUGAGAUUACAUGUGCAAGCCACUGUGCCCUGCCAUGUUUCUUAAUAUAUGCACAUAUGUAUAUGUAACACAUAAAUAAUUACAUACAUAAUACAGGAAGACACAGAAAUAAUUACAUACAUGAUACAGGAAGACACAGAAAAAGAGAAACUGGUCUGAUACCAGAAGUAUCAACUCAGGAACAAUUUUCUACUAGCUGAGCCUCAGAAGCAGCAACUUUUCCAAAGUGAAGUGAUGAAUGGAGGCGCCAGCCCUCCUCCUCAGGUUAAGAAAGGCAAAGAGCCCUGCUUUUGGCUGUAAAAAGCCAGGUUCCCUAAUCAGGUGAAGGCCUGAGGCAGGGACUCCUUAGGGCAGUGUAACUAGUAGCCAAGGCACAGGCUCCAAAGGGAGGUUGCCUGGGCUCAAGCCCGGCUCUGCCACUCACAGCUGGGUGUCCCGGGGUGAGCCUCUCAGCCCCUCGUUCAGCCUCAGUUCCACAUGUGUAAAUGGAGGUCUAGUAGCUACCUCACAGGGCAGUUGUUGAAAAUAAGCUAAUGCUCCUAAAACCCUGAGAACAGUGCUCUGUGUAUGAUAAGUGUUCAUAGACGUCACAUUAUUUAUUUAUUUUGAAAAUUCUUCUUUUAGUCAAACUUAUAAGUUUUCUGUGGCUCAAAAUAUUCUCAACCAGGGUUUCUUUAGUGGCCAUCAGCUCCCAGGGGGUGAUAUCAUGGAAGCUGUUAUGCUUAGGAAUUUGUUUAAAAAGACGUCCUGCCCUGUGCCCCAGUACAUUUCAACACCACCCAGCCACACAGCCGCCUUCUGGCCCAACACUCUUAAAGACACAGUGCUUGGGAAAUGUCCUCAUGCCCCUUUCCUGAGGCAGGUUUGCCACUGUUUCCCCAGGCCUGGCAGUCACAGAUGGCAGUCACUGACCUGCUGUGAUUUGAGAGAUGGAGAGAAAACCUUCCACUCUUCUUAUUCUCCCUAAUAGCCUCAGUCUCUGCCUUCAGUUCCACAUUUCCCUUUGGCGUAAGCUAUGAUUGUCGUCCAAGGCCCCUCCUAGAUAGGCAAGGACUCAUGAUACCAAGAGUGUGAUCAGGGGAUAGAGAUGAGAUGUCUGGGUUGGAUGCGGGAGUGGGGUAUUUUCUAACUAAUGGGGUGCAAGGGGUACCUGAGCAUGCUCUCAAAAUGUGUUAUACCCUAAAAAAUGUUUUUAAGGUAGUGUGUUGAUAUAACAGUUGUUAAGACCAUGAUGCUAGAGGCAAGAUCGUGAGAUCCAUAGAGAAGGUAGUUGAAGGGUAGGGCCUUUUAUUCACAUAUAUGCUGCCUUCUCCACCAACUGAUGUGAUAUCCUUUUAUAUUCGUGACUCCAGUGAACCCACGCCUCUGAGGAUUUACACCCUUGUAUUUGUACUCCUCUUGAGUCUGGGCUGGCCUGUGACUUUAAUCAGUGCAAUGCAGAAGUGGUUCAGUGCCAGUUCUAAGACUACAAAGAGAAAGAAAAGUUCAACCUUCCAAUAUCCCAGCAGACAUCAGGCCCCAGCUGUGUCACCAGCUUCACGCCCACGAGUGACCACAACAAACCCAGCAGAACCAACCAGCGCAUCCCAGCCCUGGUUGCAGAAUCAUGAGUAAAUAAAAUGGUUGCUGUUCU